Musca vetustissima is the source of this 441-nucleotide long non-coding RNA. RefSeq lists it as uncharacterized. The record is from RefSeq and is a predicted model, not a curated record. Lineage: Eukaryota; Metazoa; Arthropoda; Insecta; Diptera; Muscidae. The transcript has 2 exons.
CAGAAUAAAUGCUGAAUAUUAUCGCGAAAAUAUUCUAGAGGGUGUAUUAAAGCCUUGGGCACGCAAACAUUUUGGCCGCAGACCUUGGACAUUCCAACAGGACCAUCCCGAGUACGAUGGUGGACGCGCCACCCAAGAAUGGUUAGAAAAUGAGGUUCCUCGCUUCAUUUCCAGCGCACAAUGGCCACCAACAUCUCCUGAUACCAAUCCGUUGGACUAUUGUGUCUGGAGUAUUUUGGAAAUCAUGGUUUACACUAAAAAACACGAAAGUGUCGAUCACCUCAAUCAAGCCCUUCGCCGGGAAUGAGCCAAAAUACCGCAGAGAAACAAUCGGGCAACGUGUGAUGGUGACUAAUUCCAACAAAUCUAAACUUAUUCUAUAAUUUGACGCUAUUUCCGACAUUUUUGCUUUCAUUCAAUAAAAUUUAAAAAAAGUCUAAA